RNAcentral lists this unclassified non-coding RNA (258 nucleotides) under Hevea brasiliensis (rubber tree). Lineage: Eukaryota; Viridiplantae; Streptophyta; Magnoliopsida; Malpighiales; Euphorbiaceae. The record is from RNAcentral.
CAGCUUUGGCUUUCUCAUAUCUACUGGAGUUAGUGUCCGUGCAUUGAUAAAAGAUUGAACCAUGCCAUUCCCAAAUACACCAAGCAACUUAGCACCAAAUCCUGCAGCUGAGAGGUAUUUGAUAGCCUGCAACUCCCGCUCACGAUUGAUAACAUAAUCCGUGUUAGGACCAUAUAAUCUGACAGUUACGGACACCUCAUUUCCACUGUCUUCCUUUACAGAUACCUUAAGCAAAAGAUUUGUAAUGCCGCCAGAAAC